This 253-nucleotide ribosomal RNA is filed under the name uncultured bacterium. Its description in RNAcentral is "partial 16S ribosomal RNA". It matches the Rfam family "Bacterial small subunit ribosomal RNA", at positions 524 to 776 of the family's 1533-position model. The record is from RNAcentral.
UACGAGUGGUGCUAGCGUUAUUCGGAUUUAUUGGGCGUAAAGGGUGUGUAGACGGCAUACUAAGUCAUUUGUUUAAUCCUCCGGCUUAACCGGAGUCCAGCAGGUGAAACUAGUAUACUAGAGGGUGGAAGAGAGAAGUGGAAUUCUCGGAGUAGCGGUAAAAUGCGUAGAUCUCGAGAGGAACACCAAUGGCGAAGGCAGCUUCUUGGUCCAUACCUGACGUUGAGACACGAAAGCGUGGGGAGCAAACAGG